Molecule: ribosomal RNA, 509 nt
Filed under: Brettanomyces bruxellensis
Lineage: Eukaryota; Fungi; Ascomycota; Pichiomycetes; Pichiales; Pichiaceae
Description: eukaryotic LSU rRNA
Rfam family: Eukaryotic large subunit ribosomal RNA
Source: RNAcentral
GAAUGAAGCGGCAAGAGCCCAAAUUUGAAAUCGGGCAACCGAGUUGUAAUUUGGAGACGGGACACUAGAGAGGAGGAAGGCGAUUAAGUGCCUUGGAACAGGCUGCCGUAGAGGGUGAGAGCCCCGUGAAUCGCUGGAGACCGAUCAAUUAGUGCCCGCCGAAGAGUCGAGUUGUUUGGGAAUGCAGCUCUAAGUGGGUGGUAUAUUCCAUCUAAGGCUAAAUAUUAGCGAGAGACCGAUAGCAAACAAGUACAGUGAUGGAAAGAUGAAAAGAACUUUGGAAAGAGAGUGAAAUAGUACGUGAAAUUGUUGAAAGGGAAGGGUAUUUGAUCCGACAUGGUGUUUAGCAGCGGCCCGUUCCUCGUGGAUGGGUGCACCUGGUUUACACUGGGCCAGCAUCGGUUCUGGGAGCCAUAUACGGGGUUCGUGAAUGUGGCCCUUCGAUUCUGUCGGAGGGUGUUAUAGCGCGGGCAUCUUGUGGCUAGCCGGGACCGGGGACUGCGGUGACU